RNAcentral lists this ribosomal RNA (491 nucleotides) under uncultured bacterium. RNAcentral's name for it is "partial 16S ribosomal RNA". It matches the Rfam family "Bacterial small subunit ribosomal RNA", at positions 29 to 507 of the family's 1533-position model. The record is from RNAcentral.
AGUGAACGCUGGCGGUAGGCCUAACACAUGCAAGUCGAACGGCAGCACAGUAAGAGCUUGCUCUUACGGGUGGCGAGUGGCGGACGGGUGAGGAAUACAUCGGAAUCUACUUUUUCGUGGGGGAUAACGUAGGGAAACUUACGCUAAUACCGCAUACGACCUACGGGUGAAAGCAGGGGAUCUUCGGACCUUGCGCGAUUAAUGAGCCGAUGUCGGAUUAGCUAGUUGGCGGGGUAAAGGCCCACCAAGGCGACGAUCCGUAGCUGGUCUGAGAGGAUGAUCAGCCACACUGGAACUGAGACACGGUCCAGACUCCUACGGGAGGCAGCAGUGGGGAAUAUUGGACAAUGGGCGCAAGCCUGAUCCAGCCAUACCGCGUGGGUGAAGAAGGCCUUCGGGUUGUAAAGCCCUUUUGUUGGGAAAGAAAAGCAGCAGGUUAAUACCCCGCUGUUCUGACGGUACCCAAAGAAUAAGCACCGGCUAACUUCGUG